This 511-nucleotide ribosomal RNA is filed under the name uncultured bacterium. RNAcentral describes it as "partial 16S ribosomal RNA". It matches the Rfam family "Bacterial small subunit ribosomal RNA", at positions 28 to 507 of the family's 1533-position model. The record is from RNAcentral.
GACAAACGCUGGCGGCAUGCCUAACACAUGCAAGUCGAACGGACAGAACAGGGAAGCUUUUCGGAGUGGAACUGGAAAGUUAGUGGCGGAUGGGUGAGUAACGCGUGGACAACCUACCUUGUAAAGGGGAAUAUCCUCGAGAAAUCGAAGCUAAUACCCCAUAAUAACCUUGCUUCGCAUGAAGUAAGGAGGAAAGGCGGCCUUAGCGCUGUCGAUACAAGAUGGGUCCGCGUCUGAUUAGCUAGUUGGUGAGGUAAAGGCUCACCAAGGCGACGAUCAGUAGCCGGCCUGAGGGGGUGAACGGCCACAUUGGGACUGAGACACGGCCCAAACUCCUACGGGAGGCAGCAGUGGGGAAUCUUCCGCAAAGGGCGAAAGCCUGACGGAGCAAUGCCGCGUGAGUGAAGAAGGCCUUCGGGUUGUAAAACUCUGUCCUUAUCGAAGAGAGAGUGUUGUAGUAACUGACAAUACUAGGACGGUAGAUGAGGAGGAAGCCCCGGCUAACUAUGUG